GCCUUCGUGGUAUAACGGUAACACACUUGGUGCGCACUCAAGAGGUUCAGGUUCGAGCCCCGGCGAGGGCA
Molecule: transfer RNA, 71 nt
Filed under: Stegodyphus mimosarum
Lineage: Eukaryota; Metazoa; Arthropoda; Arachnida; Araneae; Eresidae
Rfam family: tRNA
About the family: Transfer RNA (tRNA) molecules are approximately 80 nucleotides in length. Their secondary structure includes four short double-helical elements and three loops (D, anti-codon, and T loops).
Source: Rfam by way of RNAcentral